UGAAAUCUGACCGUUCGGCGGUCCGAGUUGUAAUUUGCAGAGGAUGCUUCGGGUGCGGCGCCGGUCUAAGUUCCUUGGAACAGGACGUCAUAGAGGGUGAGAGUCCCGUAUGUGACCGGCGACCCAGCCCGUGUGAAGCUCCUUCGACGAGUCGAGUUGUUUGGGAAUGCAGCUCUAAAUGGGUGGUAAAUUUCAUCUAAAGCUAAAUACCGGCCAGAGACCGAUAGCGCACAAGUAGAGUGAUCGAAAGAUGAAAAGCACUUUGGAAAGAGAGUUAAACAGUACGUGAAAUUGUUGAAAGGGAAGCGCUUGCGACCAGACUUGCUCCCGGGUGAUCAGCCGUCCUUCUGGGCGGUGCACUCGCCCGUGAUCAGGCCAGCAUCGGUUCAGGCGGCCGGAUAAAGGCCCCGGGAAUGUGGCUCCCCUCGGGGAGUGUUAUAGCCCGGGGCGCAAUGCGGCCCGCCGGGACCGAGGACCGCGCUUCGGCUAGGAUGCUGGCGUAAUGGUCGCAAGCGACCCGUCUUGAAACACGGACCAAGGAGUCUAACAUCUGUGCGAGUGUUUGGGUGUCAAACCCAUGCGCGGAAUGAAAGUGAACGGAGGUGGGAACCCUUCCGGGUGCACCAUCGACCGAUCCUGAUGUCUUCGGAUGGAUUUGAGUAAGAGCACGGCUGUUGGGACCCGAAAGAUGGUGAACUAUGCCUGAAUAGGGUGAAGCCAGAGGAAACUCUGGUGGAGGCUCGCAGCGGUUCUGACGUGCAAAUCGAUCGUCAAAUUUGGGUAUAGGGGCGAAAGACUAAUCGAACCAUCU
This 811-nucleotide ribosomal RNA is filed under the name Umbilicaria havaasii. Its description in RNAcentral is "LSU rRNA". It matches the Rfam family "Eukaryotic large subunit ribosomal RNA", at positions 116 to 945 of the family's 3401-position model. The record is from RNAcentral. Lineage: Eukaryota; Fungi; Ascomycota; Lecanoromycetes; Umbilicariales; Umbilicariaceae.